UGGGGAAUAUUGGACAAUGGGCGAAAGCCUGAUCCAGCCAUGCCGCGUGUGUGAAGAAGGUCUUCGGAUUGUAAAGCACUUUAAGUUGGGAGGAAGGGCAGUAAGUUAAUACCUUGCUGUUUUGACGUUACCAACAGAAUAAGCACCGGCUAACUUCGUGCCAGCAGCCGCGGUAAUACGAAGGGUGCAAGCGUUAAUCGGAAUUACUGGGCGUAAAGCGCGCGUAGGUGGUUCAGCAAGUUGGAGGUGAAAUCCCCGGGCUCAACCUGGGAACUGCCUCCAAAACUACUGAGCUAGAGUACGGUAGAGGGUAGUGGAAUUUCCUGUGUAGCGGUGAAAUGCGUAGAUAUAGGAAGGAACACCAGUGGCGAAGGCGACUACCUGGACUGAUACUGACACUGAGGUGCGAAAGCGUGGGGAGCAAACA
This 427-nucleotide ribosomal RNA is filed under the name uncultured bacterium. Its description in RNAcentral is "bacterial SSU rRNA". It matches the Rfam family "Bacterial small subunit ribosomal RNA", at positions 355 to 774 of the family's 1533-position model. RNAcentral also lists the same sequence under 1 other name. The record is from RNAcentral.